AGAGUUUGAUCCUGGCUCAGAAUCAACGCUGGCGGCGUGCCUCAGACAUGCAAGUCGAACGAUUAAGACUUCCUUCGGGAAGUGUAUAAAGUGGCGCACGGGUGAGUAACACGUAAGUAAUCUACCCUCGAGUGGGGAAUAACGUUCGGAAACGGACACUAAUACCGCAUAACGCAGCGGCACCGCAAGGUGACAGUUGUUAAAGGAGUAAUUCGCUUGAGGAGGAGCUUGCGGCAGAUUAGCUAGUUGGUAAGGUAACGGCUUACCAAGGCUACGAUCUGUAUCCGGCCUGAGAGGGCGGUCGGACACACUGACACUGAAUAACGGGUCAGACUCCUACGGGAGGCAGCAGUCGGGAAUUUUGGGCAAUGGGCGAAAGCCUGACCCAGCAACGCCGCGUGAAGGAUGAAGUAUUUCGGUAUGUAAACUUCGAAAGAAUGGGAAGAAUAAAUGACGGUACCAUUUAUAAGCUCCGGCUAACUACGUGCCAGCAGCCGCCGCAGUAAC
This 507-nucleotide ribosomal RNA is filed under the name uncultured Acidobacteriota bacterium. Its description in RNAcentral is "bacterial SSU rRNA". It matches the Rfam family "Bacterial small subunit ribosomal RNA", at positions 8 to 526 of the family's 1533-position model. Lineage: Bacteria; Pseudomonadati; Acidobacteriota. The record is from RNAcentral.